Molecule: long non-coding RNA, 6703 nt
Organism: Acinonyx jubatus (cheetah)
Lineage: Eukaryota; Metazoa; Chordata; Mammalia; Carnivora; Felidae
Exons: 5
Source: RefSeq, a predicted model, not a curated record
GAGACGCCUGGGAUAGGUGGCUGUGGAGAGUAGGAGGUGGGGAGCUGAAAACUGGUAGGGGAGGGGGUUCUUGAAACUUAACCUUCAUCAAAUAUUGUACUAACAGGGAAGUUAAGGCAGGAAGUGUUGGUUUGUGGUUAAGCACAUGGGGCAGGGGUUGCUCUUAAGAGGAGCAAACAAAUUCAAGUGCAGAAAAUUUACAUGGGAUUGAGGGCUUUGUGGUCCCGAAGUUGUGUCAAGCUCAAAGUUUGAUUAACCUUGUCAGCACUUAAAAUUGUUUUUGAGAUUUUGCAAAGGGUUCCCACUAAGAUUUGUUUUUUCACCUUGUAAAAAAAGAAAUGUUGGGAAUAAUUAGGGUUAUUGAUAGGUUACUAAUGAUGUGUUACGUGGGAAAUACUCUCGAAUCAGAAGAAAUGCUUAGACCUCCCUAGGUUAAAUUUGUUUGGGUAAAACAUUAUUAGUGUAAAUAUUUAAACAAUUGUAUCCUGUAUGGGAAGGUUCUACACAAUGAUCAGUGUUUUUGCUGACCAUGAUACGUUUCUGUGUAUCAGAGUUUUAGUGUUACUUUGCCUGUAAAACAAAAGCAGUAUUAUAUUAGCAGUCAUAAUUUUAGUUAUUUUUAAAAACAUUAAGUUGGUUGCAACUUUACAUCUUUAAUGUGAAUUCAGUGUGUUUCCUGGCUAGUUUUCUACUGAGGAUUCACAUCAUUUAUCUAUAAAGUUUUAUUAAUCUACUACUGAUGUUUAAAAGCCUACUUUAGAUGUAUUAAAUCUAUUUACUUGAUAGUCUUGACAUAUUCUUGAUAUAUUCUAACUUUGUACUAGGUUUACACCUAACAUUUCAGGAUUUUUAUGUUAUACCUGAAAAUGUUUUCUCUGUGAAGAUUAUGUUUAUCUGUUUUCAUAAAUUAAAUGCAAUCUCUUCUAUGAAAAUAGGCACGAAUCUUUGUGUUUAAACAUGUUUUGUCAAAACCUUUUUUGGAUUGACUUUAUUUUGUUCUCUGUGCCAUGGACACAACCAGAUAUGCUUGUCGAUUGCAUGAUUAUUGUAAUGAACUCUCUUCAGAUCAUUCUCUUUUGAAAAUAUCAGUAGGAAGUAAAUAAUAGACCUUCUAGUCUUUUGUCAUCUACAGACAGUUUGUAUGCUUUGUUUUACUCCUGAUGCUUCCAUGAAAAUGCCUGGAAUCAGCUGGAAGGCAGAGUGUUCCAUUUUUAACAAAGGAUUGUCUUAAGAGCCUGGAGACUCUGCCAGAUACUCUUGGGUGCAGGCUUCUGAUGGCAUUGUUUAACUAUGAGAUCAUACCAGUGGACUGAGUCAGGAGUUCCAGACAUCCAGUCAAGAAGUAGAGGUGUUCCUGAGACUAGUAACCCUGGAUCAAGUGGAACAAGAAUUAUUACAUAGGACUGAAUGAACUGAUCUUUCAUGAUUAUGGGCUUUGUUUGGAACAGUGCUGAUGCUCUCGUGUUCUAUUUUCUGGAUGUAAGGAUGCACUUUCUCUCUUCUCUCAAGCUAUCUAGCACUCACAACAAUUUAGUAGACUGUGCCCUUGUGAAACAGAAGGGAAACAUUCCUCUUCUCUGCCCUGCCUCACCCUUCCAAAUUCUGGGAAGUCUCGUGGAGUAUUCCUGUUUUCGUGGCACUGUAGUUAUUUGCAUAGAUUCAGUGAGAGCCCGUCCACCUUGUUAAUAGGACAUAAUUGGAAGCACUGGUUAAUCAAGGCUGGCUCUGCCUAUAAUGUCACAGUUGAUAAUGAUGCUCGUUUCGUCAGAUGUGACCAGACCCUUUUCAGCAAUUAAAGUUGACAUGAUGGGCCAAUGCUUACAAAGUCCCUCUUGGGAAAACUGGCCUGGCAACCGGCUUGAUAGGGUUCCCAGCCUUAUAGGUGAGCAAGGAAGGUCACUUCCUGGCAGACUCAGGAAUCCUAGGCUAUUUUGAGGACCUCAGGAAGAGAGGAAUGCCCACCAAAUCACUAGGUACUGCAGGUGGAAAAUGAUGGUGAAGUUUUGGCUUGGCUUCCUAGUCUCGAGAGGCUCUGAAAAGUCCAAUCUGAGAUUCUUUCUGAAAGCGUCCAGAGAAGCCAGUAUAAGACCUACGUGGUACCACGUCGUUCUUGCUGCAUCUAUGUAAAUAACCAGGCCACCUCCAGUGAGACCAGCCUUAUUUUGUGACCAAGAGAAAUCUUUCUUUGAGAUUGUCUUUGAUCAAGAGGGGAAAGGGACUGUAGAGAGCCUUUGGUGUUUCAAUGGGAAACUAUAGCAUGCUCUUUUGGAUUACCGGAUUCUGACCCUAUUCAUUGCCUUUGAGCUAUUUUGCACCUCUGUAAAUUGCAGAUCUAUCUGGAAACUUUGUUUUGUCUGGUAACUAAGCUUUCUGUUUCCCUGUGCAAAAACCGGUUUGAUGUUUACUUCUAAAUUGCACUGUGUUUUCUCACCUUGCACAACUUGUCAACCCUUAACCAGAUUUUCAGUUCUUACAGUUUCCUUUAAUAUUUGGCUAUAAACUAAUCUUAGCCUCAAAAUAAACUUUCCAUUUUUUCUGCCUCCUUCUUGACUUGAAGUCAUGAGAACUACAAACCGAUUGCCAGGUUUUUAUUGGGACUCUGAAAUUGCCUUUGCUGGUCUUUGCCUCCAAAAUCUGAAGAGUCACUGCAAGCUGAAGCCUAAGGACUUUUUAUAAGAUUGGAAGGACUCAUCAUCCCACCUGAUCAUUCAUGGUCCAGCUCUUUCCAUGCAUAGGCCACUGCUUGCACUACCAAGCAAGUGUGGCGAAAUACUCGAGCCAUCCAUCCUUAUUGGAGAAGAACCAAUGCUGUGGACAUCACCACCAAUACAAUUGACAUCUCAGCUUCAAAAAACUCAGUGAGUGUUUUCUUGGAAGUUCCACCAAAAUACAGUUGGCACUGACCAUCACCGUGGCCUCCAGUCUUAGACCAGGCACCCAGAACCUGUUGUGCCUCACUGCUCACUGCUCAUCAAGUCCACAACGAUGUGGAUAUUUUGUCUGUUGGAAGAAACAUCAGAGGAAAUCUGCUGCCUUUGAUCUCAAUGGAAGGAACUUUAUCAGAUGAUCCCAAUGAUGACAAAACAACGGAAAGGUCAGGAAGAUCUCGCAUACAGUUGACUAUGGAGGUGACUAACAAUCUCUGAGCAGCGCAGAUCUGGAUCACUAGCUUUCUCUGAAUUGGCCGACUUCUUGCAAAUAACCCUGUUUAAGAUGUCUGGACUUCAAGAUUCUAAAACAAUUGACCUUUGCUAUAACCUCUCAACAGAUGGUUCAGCUUAUUUUACAGGAACAACACCAACAAAAGUCCUAGACAGAUCCUGCUUUGUCUCACUCAGGAGGUUUAUGCUGGUCUUUUACUUGUUUAGGUUAGUUUAUUAUAUUCAUUCUUAUUGAACAAAAGGAGGGUUUGACAGUGUCAGCUCAGUAUUUAUCUGAGCUCUGUAUUCCUGGAAAACAUUGAUGGUUAAUAAAUCCCCCAUCUUUUGUGUUCAGUUUCUUACUGAAAAGAGCCACCACCCUUCUGCAUACCAUUUAUGGAAGACUCCUCAUCCAUUUUUUCUCAUGACUCCAAUAAGAGUUGUGUGUCAAGGUGUCUAUGGAAAAUUGAUUUUUGGCAAAGAUGCCAGCACCAUUCAAAGGCAAAAGCAUAGUGCUUUCAACAAAUGAUUCUGGGACAACUGGCUAGAGUCACACACAGGAGAAUGAAGUUGGAUCUUUACCUCACCACUAUAUAAAAAAUAACUCAAAGUGAAUCAAAAAUCCAAGUCUAUGAGCUAAAACUGUGGGAUUCUUAGAAGAAAACAUAGAGGUAAAUGUUCAUGACAUCAGGUGUGGCAGUGGAAUUUGAGAUAUGACUCCAAACACAAGCAACAAGACAAAAAAACAGAUAAAUUGAGCUUCAUUAAAAUUGAAAAAUUUGUGGGAUGCCUGAUGGCUCAGUUGGUUAAGGAUCAGAUUUCAGCUGAGGUCAUGAUCUCACAUUUCAUGGGUUGGAGCGCCAUGGCGGGCUCUGUGCUGAUAGCUUAGAGCCUGGAGCCUGCUUCAGAUUCUUCUCCACCUGUCUCUGCCCCUCCCCUGCUCACACUCUGUCUCUCAAAAAAGAAUAAAAAACAUUAAAAAAUAAAAAUAUAUUAAAACUUUUGUGCUUCAAAAGAUACUAUCAAGAAAGUGAAAGGACAACCUAAGGACUAUAGCUAUAUUUGAAAAUUGUAUAUCUGAUAAGGAACCUGUAUCUAGAAUAUAUAAAGAAUUCUUAAAAUUCAGUAAUAAAAAUGACAAAUAACCUAGUUUAAAAAGUCAAAGGAUUUGAAUGGACAUUUCUCCAAAGAUGACAUACAAAUGGCUGAUAAGCAUAUGAAAAUAUGCCAUAGAUCAUUAGUCAUCAAGUAAGUGCAGAUCAAAACCACAAUGAGAUAUUACUUCAAGCCCACUAGCCUAGAAUCAAAAGGUAGGUCAAUAACAAGUGUUGGCAAGGAUGUGGAGAAACUGAAACCCCUCUAGAUUGCUAGUGGGAAGGCAAAGUCACUACAGAAAACAAUCUGACAGUUUCUUCAAAUGAUUUACCCUAUGAUCCAGACAUUACACUCCUAGAGAUACGGCCAAAGGGAAAAAAAAAACCUAUGUCUACACAAAAAGUUGUACACAAAUGUUUACAGCAACAAUAUUCAUAAUAGCCAAAAGGUAGAAUCAACCCAGUGUCCAACUGGAUAUUUGGAUAAACAAAAUAUGAUACAUCCAUACAAUGAAAUAUUAUUUGGCCAUGAAAAGGAAAGAAUGACUGACAUAUGCUAUAACACGGACAAAUCUUGACCACAUUAAACUAAGUAAAAGAUGCCAGUGACAAAAGACCACAUAUUGUAUUAUCCGUUUAUAUGAAAUGUCCAGAAUAAGAGAAUGUAAAAAGAUAGAAAAUAAGAUAAUGGUUGCUUAGGGCUGGAAAGGAUGGUGGGUGGGGAAGGGAUAGCUAAAUCCGAUGUUCUUUUCUUAAAUUGAGAUGACAAAAAUAUUCUAAAAUUGAUUGUAAGGAUGGCUUCAAAUCUGUAAAUAAAAAUAAUUGUACCUUUUAAAUGAGUGAAUUUUGUGGUAUGUGAAUUAUGUCUCAAGAGAGCUGUUAAGACACAAGAAGACAAAUGGCCCGUGUUUGCAGAUGUUUAGUAGCCUGUUUCCUGAAUACAGGAAGUUGGGAGCCCAGUUUGAACUACCUUUGUCCCUUGUGAUUCACAGUGCCAGCAUUUUCACUAAUACGAUUCUCUUAAUUCUGUGGGUUUUUACGAAGUUGAGAAGUUCACUCUAUGCCACGAAACUGCGUCCAUAAUUAUUUUUGAGUCAGAUCUUCUAAUUCUGACUGCCUAAGUGAAUGCAGAGGGCCAGGGCUUUUGUCUUCCUGAGAGCACCACUUUCAGUAUUUAAAGAUCUUAACAAAGGUGUUACAGUUACUGCUAUACAACAAACCAUACCAAAACCUAGUGAAUUAACACAAUCAUGAUUUUUAAUAUGUCUGAUCGUUUUGUGGGUCAGCCUGGAGAUUCCCAAGCCGAUUCUGCCUGCGCUCACAUAUGUGUUGUUUCAGCGAGAGAUUUGGCUGGACUGGAAGGUGCAAAAUGACCUCACUCACACGUUUGACCCUUGGUUCUGGCCUUUGGCUGAGAUUCUUCAGUUUUUUCUCCAUAUGACCUCUCAUCUGCCAGUAGGCUAGUUCAGCUGCCUUCCCUGGCUAAGGGAAGUUUUCCGAGAGAACCGAAGCAGAAGAUGCAAAGCCUUUUAAAGCUCAACCCCGGAAGUUGCAUUAUGUCAUUUCCGCCAUAUUCCAUUGGCCAAAGCAAGUUAUACUGGUCUAGAUUCAAGAGGAUGGAGAAACAGAUUCCACAACCAGACGGCGGGCAAAGGGAAAGCCGCUCUGCAACAUAUCUUUGUCUUACUGAGAUAGGAAGGGUUAGGGACGUUAAACAACUUCUGCAGUCCUUACAAGGAUUUUGGACUUUAUUGCUUGGAGCAUCUCUAAAAUAUGCUAGUAACAGAGAAUUAUAUGAUCAGUUUGUGUUUUAGAGAGAUGACUCUGAGAGCAGUGUGGAAGAUGAAGAGAGGAAAGACAGAAGUUAGGCACAGUGUAUUUAGAAAAAUAAUGCAGUUGUCCACCUGGAGAUGACAAGGGCUCGAAGAGAGAUUGAAUGAGGAGAUGGCUUAUGGAUUUUUAAAUCUGACUCAGUGUUAGGCAAGUGUCAGAGUUUUAUAUAGCAUGACAACUCACUAUACCAUGACUAUAUGGAUAUGUAAUAAAUUGUAUAUAACAUCUCUAGUAAUACAUAUAUGUGUUGUAAAACUAUAUCAAGUGAAAGGAAGGGAAUGAUGAGCACAGAGUUUGGGAUGAUGACUGUCUUAGAUGAGGGAUGUAAACUAUUAUAAAAGUUUUGGACUUGUGGUUGGGUAGUAGACUCAUAUGUGCUUGUUAUAUUGCUACCAAAAGAGAAAGCAAAGAGAAAUAGUUGUAGACCAAAGGUGUAAGCAUAGUGUGAAACAGGGAUUGUUCUUUAUAUAUCUGAUCCAUGAAGGAAAAUGAUAAUGCUGAUCUGCUUUGUGGAUCUCCAGUGAGAUGGGUUAGUAUGUACUAUGCAGCAUUUCCCCACCUUGCUUGCUCCAGAAUCAUUUGUCCACAGAUGAAGCAUGGAAGCUGCCAAGGCACUUAUUUCACAGAUGAGGAAAA